GAUGAACGCUGGCGGCGUGCCUAAUACAUGCAAGUAGAACGCUGAAGCUUGGUGCUUGCACCGAGCGGAUGAGUUGCGAACGGGUGAGUAACGCGUAGGUAACCUGCCUCUUAGCGGGGGAUAACUAUUGGAAACGAUAGCUAAUACCGCAUAAAAGUCGAUAUCGCAUGAUGUUGACUUGAAAGGUGCAAUUGCAUCACUAAGAGAUGGACCUGCGUUGUAUUAGCUAGUUGGUGAGGUAACGGCUCACCAAGGCGACGAUACAUAGCCGACCUGAGAGGGUGAUCGGCCACACUGGGACUGAGACACGGCCCAGACUCCUACGGGAGGCAGCAGUAGGGAAUCUUCGGCAAUGGGGGCAACCCUGACCGAGCAACGCCGCGUGAGUGAAGAAGGUUUUCGGAUCGUAAAGCUCUGUUGUAAGAGAAGAACGAGUGUGAGAGUGGAAAGUUCACACUGUGACGGUAACUUACCAGAAAGGGACGGCUAACUACGUG
RNAcentral lists this ribosomal RNA (497 nucleotides) under uncultured organism. Its description in RNAcentral is "bacterial SSU rRNA". It matches the Rfam family "Bacterial small subunit ribosomal RNA", at positions 28 to 507 of the family's 1533-position model. The record is from RNAcentral.